UACAGAGGUCCCAAGCGUUGUUCGGAUUCACUGGGCGUAAAGGGUGCGCAGGUGGUUUGGCAAGUUUGACGUGAAAGCCCCGGGCUUAACCCGGGAAUGGCGUUGAAAACUGCUUGAACUGGAGGGUCGGAGGGGGGACUGGAAUUCUUGGUGUAGCAGUGAAAUGCGUAGAUAUCAAGAGGAACACCAGUGGCGAAGGCGAGUCCCUGGACGAUACCUGACGCUGAGGCGCGAAAGCUAGGGGAGCAAACAGG
This 254-nucleotide ribosomal RNA is filed under the name uncultured bacterium. RNAcentral describes it as "partial 16S ribosomal RNA". It matches the Rfam family "Bacterial small subunit ribosomal RNA", at positions 524 to 776 of the family's 1533-position model. The record is from RNAcentral.